AACGAACGCUGGCGGCAUGCCUAACACAUGCAAGUCGAACGAGACCUUCGGGUCUAGUGGCGCACGGGUGCGUAACGCGUGGGAAUCUGCCCUUGGGUUCGGAAUAACAGUUAGAAAUGACUGCUAAUACCGGAUAAUGUCUUCGGACCAAAGAUUUAUCGCCCAGGGAUGAGCCCGCGUAGGAUUAGCUAGUUGGUGAGGUAAAGGCUCACCAAGGCGACGAUCCUUAGCUGGUCUGAGAGGAUGAUCAGCCACACUGGGACUGAGACACGGCCCAGACUCCUACGGGAGGCAGCAGUGGGGAAUAUUGGACAAUGGCGAAAGCCUGAUCCAGCAAUGCCGCGUGAGUGAUGAAGGCCUUAGGGUUGUAAAGCUCUUUUUACCCGGGAUGAUAAUGACAGUACCGGGAGAAUAAGCCCCGGCUAACUCCGUGCCAGCAGCCGCGGUAU
This 449-nucleotide ribosomal RNA is filed under the name uncultured bacterium. Its description in RNAcentral is "bacterial SSU rRNA". It matches the Rfam family "Bacterial small subunit ribosomal RNA", at positions 29 to 523 of the family's 1533-position model. The record is from RNAcentral.